AAUGAACGCUGGCGGCGUGCCUAACACAUGCAAGUCGAACGAGAAUGUUUCCUUCGGGAAGCUAGUAAAGUGGCAGACGGGUGAGUAACACGUGGAUAACCUACCCUCGAGUGUGGAAUAACCCCGCGAAAGUGGGGCUAAUACCGCAUAACAUUUCUUUCUCCCAAGAGUUGGAAAUCAAAGGUGGCCUCUGACAUAAGCUAUCGCUUGAGGACGGGUCCGCGCACCAUUAGCUUGUUGGUGGGGGUAAUGGCCUACCAAGGCGGCGAUGGUUAGCCGGCCUGAGAGGGUGAACGGCCACACUGGAACUGAGACACGGUCCAGACUCCUACGGGAGGCAGCAGUGGGGAAUUUUUCGCAAUGGGCGAAAGCCUGACGAAGCAACGCCGCGUGGAUGAUGAAGGCUUUCGGGUCGUAAAAUCCUGUCGGCAGGUAUGAAACUUCUGGUAACUAAUAACUACCAGAAUUGACAGUACCUGCUGAGAAAGCCCCGGCUAACUCCGUG
Molecule: ribosomal RNA, 505 nt
Filed under: uncultured bacterium
Lineage: Bacteria
Description: bacterial SSU rRNA
Rfam family: Bacterial small subunit ribosomal RNA
Source: RNAcentral